This 418-nucleotide ribosomal RNA is filed under the name uncultured bacterium. RNAcentral describes it as "bacterial SSU rRNA". It matches the Rfam family "Bacterial small subunit ribosomal RNA", at positions 355 to 775 of the family's 1533-position model. The record is from RNAcentral.
UGGGGAAUAUUGGUCAAUGGGCGAAAGCCUGAACCAGCAAUGCCGCGUGAGUGAUGAAGGCCUUCGGGUUGUAAAGCUCUGUCGGGAGGGACGAAAAAAUCCGCAAGGAUCUUGACGGUACCUCCAAAGGAAGCACCGGCUAACUCUGUGCCAGCAGCCGCGGUAAUACAGAGGGUGCAAGCGUUGUUCGGAUUUACUGGGCGUAAAGCGCGUGUAGGCGGUGACAUAAGUCGGAUGUGAAAUCCCUCGGCUCAACCGAGGACGUGCACCCGAUACUGUGCCACUUGAGUACCGGAGGGGAUGGCGGAAUUCCUGGUGUAGAGGUGAAAUUCGUAGAUAUCAGGAGGAACACCUGUGGCGAAGGCGGCCAUCUGGACGGUAACUGACGCUGAGACGCAAAAGCGUGGGUAGCAAACAG